Molecule: ribosomal RNA, 253 nt
Filed under: uncultured bacterium
Lineage: Bacteria
Description: partial 16S ribosomal RNA
Rfam family: Bacterial small subunit ribosomal RNA
Source: RNAcentral
GACGAGGGGUCCAAGCGUUGUUCGGAAUUAUUGGGCGUAAAGCGGGUGUAGGUGGCUCUAUAAGUCAGAAGUGAAAGCCCCGAGCUUAACUUGGGAAGUGCUUUUGAUACUGUAGAGCUUGAAUGUGGGAGAGGAUCGUGGAAUUCCAGGUGUAGUGGUGAAAUACGUAGAUAUCUGGAGGAACGCCAGUGGCGAAAGCGACACACUGGGUCUCAACUGACGCUGAGGCACGAAAGCCAGGGGAGCAAACGGG